This 85-nucleotide transfer RNA is filed under the name Dreissena polymorpha. Its description in RNAcentral is "tRNA-Thr". The stretch from base 1 to 72 matches the Rfam family "tRNA". Rfam says of the family: Transfer RNA (tRNA) molecules are approximately 80 nucleotides in length. Their secondary structure includes four short double-helical elements and three loops (D, anti-codon, and T loops). Further hydrogen bonds mediate the characteristic L-shaped molecular structure. tRNAs have two regions of fundamental functional importance: the anti-codon, which is responsible for specific mRNA codon recognition, and the 3' end, to which the tRNAs corresponding amino acid is attached (by aminoacyl-tRNA synthetases). tRNAs cope with the degeneracy of the genetic code in two manners: having more than one tRNA (with a specific anti-codon) for a particular amino acid; and 'wobble' base-pairing, i.e. permitting non-standard base-pairing at the 3rd anti-codon position. Lineage: Eukaryota; Metazoa; Mollusca; Bivalvia; Myida; Dreissenidae. The record is from RNAcentral.
GGUGCCGUAGCCUAGUGGUUAAGGCGAUAGACUAGUAAUCUUUUGGGAUAUUCCCGCGCAGGUUCGCUACCUUAAUACGGCGUCA